GGGGCUGUAGCUCAUUGGCAGAGCACUUGCCUAGCAUGUGUGAGGCACUGUUCAAUCCUCAGCCCCA
Ictidomys tridecemlineatus (thirteen-lined ground squirrel) is the source of this 67-nucleotide non-coding RNA. NCBI's taxonomy places the organism in Eukaryota, Metazoa, Chordata, Mammalia, Rodentia, Sciuridae. The record is from Rfam.